Molecule: ribosomal RNA, 468 nt
Filed under: uncultured bacterium
Lineage: Bacteria
Description: partial 16S ribosomal RNA
Rfam family: Bacterial small subunit ribosomal RNA
Source: RNAcentral
GACGAACGCUGGCGGCGUGCUUAACACAUGCAAGUCGAACGGAAAGGCCCUGCUUUUGUGGGGUGCUCGAGUGGCGAACGGGUGAGUAACACGUGAGUAACCUGCCCUUGACUUUAGGAUAACUUCAGGAAACUGGGGCUAAUACCGGAUAGGAGCUCCUGCUGCAUGGUGGGGGUUGGAAAGUUUCGGCGGUUGGGGAUGGACUCGCGGCUUAUCAGCUUGUUGGUGGGGUAGUGGCUUACCAAGGCUUUGACGGGUAGCCAGCCUGAGAGGGUGACCGGCCACAUUGGGACUGAGAUACGGCCCAGACUCCUACGGGAGGCAGCAGUGGGGAAUAUUGCACAAUGGGCGGAAGCCUGAUGCAGCAACGCCGCGUGCGGGAUGACGGCCUUCGGGUUGUAAACCGCUUUCGCCUGUGACGAAGCGUGAGUGACGGUAAUGGGUAAAGAAGCACCGGCUAACUACGUG